This 482-nucleotide long non-coding RNA is filed under the name Ananas comosus (pineapple). RNAcentral describes it as "long non-coding RNA (ACOM_LNC017683)". The record is from RNAcentral. Lineage: Eukaryota; Viridiplantae; Streptophyta; Magnoliopsida; Poales; Bromeliaceae.
UUUAUAUAUUUUUUAAGCUAAAUUAUAAAAAAUUUAUAUAUCAAGCUUUUUCAUUUUUACCUCCUGUUAUUUAAAUACCUACACUUUAUUUUCUUAAAAAAUAAAAAAUAUUCACAAAAAAUACGCUGUGACAAAAUAACCAAAUUAUCUCUUAUCUUCUUCGGAGUGGAUAUGGACGGAGAGGUGGGCGAUGGCGAGGGCGAGGGUGAGGCGGCGGAGGCGUGUGAGGGCGUGUAUGUGGGCAUGGACAGAGAGGUAUGUGAGGGCGAGGAUGAGAAAAAACGAGAGUUUCAAGGAUAUUUUGGGUAUAAAAAAUAGAAUAUAAACGGAAUCCUAACGAAACACCGGCGGCAGGAUCUAAGUGAAUAUUUUUCAUUUUUAAAGGAUAAAGUAUAGAUUUUUGAAUGAUAUGAGAAUAAAGCGAAAAAACAGAUAUUGACAGGAAUUUUUUUUUUUUUUGUAAUUUAUCAUAUUUUUUAUUU